This 145-nucleotide small RNA is filed under the name Planococcus glaciei. RNAcentral describes it as "Planomicrobium glaciei c-di-AMP sequence". It matches the Rfam family "c-di-AMP riboswitch aptamer (ydaO/yuaA leader)". Rfam says of the family: This family represents a conserved RNA structure found upstream of the ydaO and yuaA genes in Bacillus subtilis and related genes in other bacteria. The ydaO/yuaA element is thought to act as a genetic "off" switch for the ydaO and yuaA genes in its native state. It is believed that the element may be triggered during osmotic shock leading to activation of ydaO, a predicted amino acid transporter gene, and members of the yuaA-yubG operon which code for KtrA and KtrB K+ transporters. Lineage: Bacteria; Bacillati; Bacillota; Bacilli; Caryophanales; Caryophanaceae. The record is from RNAcentral.
ACCUUUUAAUCGCUGAAUCAAUUUGAACGGGGGACCCACAAUCGAUGAAAUUCGUUUUCAUCCGGGGUGAAUCUUACUUGGUAAGAAGGGAUACUCUCCAUCCCUAAUCCGGCAGCUAACCCCGUAAGCGUUACUUUGUAAGUUG